AGCUAAGAGAUUGCGGCAUUCAAAGAUCCCCCGGCUGUAUCAAGGGAAGAUUUGACAUGACAAGACAAUCAUUCGCGUUGAUAAGAUGCAUUAUCAGCGGGGAAGACGAAGAUGAAGAUCCGCAACAGCAAAUGAAAAGUGUUGAACAAGUCUACGAUAUGAUAACCUAAUUUUCCUGCCGGUAAAGAGGCGAAAAAGAAAAGAGAUUUUAUUACAAAAUUAUUAAACGGGCAAAACAGAGAGAGACUCUUCCUUCCAGUGAAACCGAAAAGCGAACGAAUCGAAAGUAAAAUAAAACAAAAAAAAAAAGAUUUCUCAAAACGGGGCGUUCAUAUGUUUCAACGACAUCCGAGGGCGUGGCAUACGCCCAAAUAAACUGGCAAACAAACAAUAAACAACUGAAAGAGCGACGACUUACACGCAAUCCCAGGCAUUCGGCAACUCGGGGCGAAAUACUGCGGCUCACGGCUCGAAAUCUGUGGUGAUCUUUGAUGCGAAGAAACCUGCGCCUGGACUGGAGGGCCCUGGCCCUGCUGGGCGCCCUCCUCUCGCUCAUCAUCGCCUGGCCGGGCCUGGUCUUUGCGAUGCCCGCGAUGGAGACACUACCAGCUGCAUCCGCAUCCUCAUCCCCUUACCCAGCCAGCAGCAUGAACAAUAGUAAUAGUUAUAUACAAAGUGAUCAUAGUCGUAGUAGUUUAGUGGCAAGCGUAGUCGUGAGUGAACGUAAUGUAAAUCAAUCCACAAAUCAAAGUAUUAAUGCUGAAUUUAAUCAGAGCUUAAGCACGCAAUUAACUGCCAUAGUAACCACAGCAAGCACACCUCCCCAAUCAUCAUCCCCCACAUGGGAUAUCGAGAGCUCCACAGAGCCAGACUCCGCAGGAGAGCAGGAGCAGCUGGAGAAGGAUGAGCCCCUGGGCUUUGUCAUCUCGGCAGUGCCGAGUCAGCAUCUGGCUGUCCUGUCUCGCACCGAGCGCAGCAUUCGUCACCAGCAUCAGCAGCAGCAGCAGCAGAAGAAGCAUCCGCAUCAGCAUCACCUCCAGCAUCAGCAGCAGCAUCAGCAGCACGCACAUCCUCAUCACCAGCAAGAGUCGCCGACUGGCAAUAAUUUCAUUGGUUCGAAAUCGAAAAGACUGAGCAACCCUAGAAGUAAUCUAAGCAUAAAUAGCAGUAGCAGUAACACUCCUCCCAUCAGCAAUCUGGAUCGUAACGAACGCUCCACCGUGCCCCAGUCCCAUUUGGACUGGUCAUCCCGCAAAAUACGGUUGUAUAUCAAAAAUCAUAUGCUGCAGGUGAUGCGAGAUGGAACCGUCAUUGGGAUUCAGGAUGAGAACAGUGAAUUUACGAUUCUCCAGCGAUCCACCGUGGAUGUGGGACGCAUCAAGCUGCAGAGUGUGGCCACCUGCCUGUAUCUGUGCAUGGACGCGUGCGGCGUUGCCUAUGGCUCGAAAGACUUCACCGACGACUGUGUCUUCAACGAGAACAUGGGUCUGCAGAACUACAACACAUACUCCUCCACCUACAACUCGAACGCGCGGCGGGUCUUCUACCUGGCCCUCAAUGGCAAGGGUGAACUGCGUCGCACCCAGAUCUCGGCCAGCCGAUCGCUGCGGAAGCUGAGCACCUACACCAAUGCCAUCACGGAGACGGUGCCGCAGGAUCGGGUGGAGCAGCUGAUCGCCAAGAAUUUUGGGGCCAAUCGCGUCAAGCACGGCGUACGCCAACUCUGUGAUACGGGCAAGCCGCUGAUACCGCUGAUCGAUGUGGCCCACUUUAAGGCGCCGCCGCAGUGCAGCGGAAGCGGAAGUGGGAGUGGAAGUGGAAGCGGAAGUAGUAGUAGUAGUAGCAGUGGUAGUAGCAGCAGCAGCAGCAGCAGUGCCAGCAGCCUGAUUAGUAUUAGUAACAGUAGUCAAAGCGAGAGCGGCCAUAUUAGCAGUAGCCUUAGCAGUAGCAGUACCAUUAGUAGCACCCUUAGCAGUACCCCUAGCAGUAGCAAGGACAAGAAGAAGCGGCGCAAGUGCCGGCCCCAUGAGCAGGAGGAUCUGCACCAGUGCCAGAAGCGGCCAGCAGCUGGAGCGGGUAACCUGCGGAAGCUGGGUCCCAAGGCCCAGCUGUGCAAGGAGCUGCGCGCGAAGGCGGCCGCCGAGGGAGGACCGCCGCCCAACUGUGGCAAGAAGAAUGGUGGCAAGAAGCAGUCAGGUGCAGGUCCUAGCCCAGCAGAGGGCAAGGGCUUGCAGCACCAGCGGGGCAAGGGCAACAUCCAGCCGGGUGGCAAGCGGAAAGGCAACAAGGCCGGAAAGCAGCGGCAGAAUGGUGGCAAGAAGCAGCAACAGCAACAGCAGAGGCAACACCAAGCCAAAGCUGUUGCCGGUGGCAAGCGCAAGCAGCGAAAGCAAGAUCUUUUGUCCACCAGCAGCACCACCACCAUGGCCACCAGCCUGGCCACGCCGCCGGAGAGUCACUGGGAGAGCAGCUCACCCCUGCCUGCAUUGGCUCUCAGUGAAACCAGCGAUCGGGUGGAGCGCAAUGUGCGCCUGGCCAGCGGCGAGGAUCUGGAGCAGGAUGGUGAGCAGGAGCCCGAGGAUCCCGAGGACACCGACACCGAUGGCGGCUCCAUGGAGGAUGCCAGCUACGAGGAUGCCACCUCCGAGGCGCAGGGACGCAGCGGAGCAGUUGGGGAUGAUUCGCUCUACUACGAUUUCGGACUGUUGUCUCCCCGGCGAUGAUGCGAACCCCCUUAAAGACGAUGAAUAUCGAAUGUAUUACGACGGAGUCUCGAGUAUUUUAUAAGAACCUCUCAACCCAUUGGAAUAUAUAAAUAUAUAUAUAAUCGAAAUGUAUGAUAAAAUGCACGCACGUCCAUCCCAAUCACAAUUAUAUAGAUGUAAAAUAUCGAAAAAUGCCAUAACCUUAUGAAAAAGAGUCUAUUGAAAUACUUGAGUCUCUGCAGCGGAAAUUUCACGUUGAUGAAAAUACUCAGAAAUACGAUCACUCCGAAACAAACUCCAACAGAUAGAAACUGAAAACUUGCAAAGAGCUAUUCCCAAUGUUAAUAAAAAACAAAGCGAAGAAAAUUCGAAUAUGUUACCCGAUUUGUCUGAAAAUUGUUUGGAUAAGAAUUUUUGAAAAUCAAGGUUUUGGCAAACAAUCUUUUGACAAAAUGCAGAUACACGGUUUAGUCGUAAGAUACAGUUUUUUAUCUUUGUAUUAUCGAACCUCGCUGCUUCUCAGUGCUUAGCCUAAGCUCUGUAAAUCAAUUUUGAAUAAGAACUUUCCCAAGGGAAACCCCCAAUCGAAACUAUGAAGCCAACGAUACAUCGAAAAGAAAGCAACUAUUAUGAAUUAGAAACCAGAGAAAGGAUUCAGAAAUCAAAACAUUGUAUUUUUACUUACAGAUACUUAUGCAACUAACAUGUAAUAUUAAUUUAUUUAAUUUAAUUUCGACGAGAGAUAAGCGUGAAAUUAUAGAUUGUAGCCUGUACUAUUUGAGUUAUUUAUUUAUUUGAAAAUAUUUAUUUAUAAAACUACAAUUAAGAUGACUCUAGGCCUUAGACUAACAAAACUCUGUUAUAAUUGCAUUAUACAAACAUUUUCCAGAUAACUUGAUCCUGCAGAUGAUCACCUGGGCUUUCCUC
This is an unclassified non-coding RNA of Drosophila serrata, 3632 nucleotides long. The record is from RefSeq and is a predicted model, not a curated record. Lineage: Eukaryota; Metazoa; Arthropoda; Insecta; Diptera; Drosophilidae.